This 86-nucleotide transfer RNA is filed under the name Rubrivirga marina. RNAcentral describes it as "tRNA-Tyr". It matches the Rfam family "tRNA". Rfam says of the family: Transfer RNA (tRNA) molecules are approximately 80 nucleotides in length. Their secondary structure includes four short double-helical elements and three loops (D, anti-codon, and T loops). Lineage: Bacteria; Pseudomonadati; Rhodothermota; Rhodothermia; Rhodothermales; Rubricoccaceae. The record is from RNAcentral.
GGGCAGGUGGCCGAGUGGUUAAAGGCGACAGACUGUAAAUCUGUUCUCUCACGAGUACGGAGGUUCGAAUCCUUCCCUGCCCACGA